This 467-nucleotide ribosomal RNA is filed under the name uncultured bacterium. Its description in RNAcentral is "bacterial SSU rRNA". It matches the Rfam family "Bacterial small subunit ribosomal RNA", at positions 36 to 518 of the family's 1533-position model. The record is from RNAcentral.
CUGGCGGCGUGCCUAACACAUGCAAGUCGAACGGAGUAAGGUCUUCGGAAUUUGCUUAGUGGCGAACGGGUGAGUAACGCGUGAGCAACCUGCCUCUUUGAGGGGGAUAACAACCGGAAACGGUUGCUAAUACCGACAUAAGACCACACUGUCGCAUGGCAGGAGAGGUCAAAGGAGCAAUCCGCAGAGAGAGGGCUCGCGUCCCAUUAGGUAGACGGCGGGUAACGGCCACCGUGCCGACGAUGGUAGCCGAGCUGAGAGGCUGAUCGGCCACACUGGAACUGAGACACGGUCCAGACUCCUACGGGAGGCAGCAGUGGGAAUAUCGGGCAAUGGGCGAAAGCCUGAACCCCAGCAACGCCGCGUGAGGGAAGAAGGUCUUCGGAUUGUAAACCUCUGGUCCUUGGUGACGAAGGAAGUGACGGUAGCCAAGGAGGAAGCCCGGCUAACUACGUGCCAGCAGCUGC